RNAcentral lists this unclassified non-coding RNA (520 nucleotides) under uncultured Glomus. RNAcentral's name for it is "SSU rRNA". It matches the Rfam family "Eukaryotic small subunit ribosomal RNA", at positions 569 to 1090 of the family's 1831-position model. The record is from RNAcentral. Lineage: Eukaryota; Fungi; Glomeromycota; Glomeromycetes; Glomerales; Glomeraceae.
AGCAGCCGCGGUAAUUCCAGCUCCAAUAGCGUAUAUUAAAGUUGUUGCAGUUAAAAAGCUCGUAGUUGAAUUUCGAGACCGGUUUACUGGUCGUGCUUUUGUACGUACUGGUAUUAUUGGUUUCUCCUUUCUGACGAAUCAUAAUGCCAUUAAUUUGGUGUUUUGGGGAAUCAGGACUGUUACUUUGAAAAAAUUUAGAGUGUUUAAAGCAGGCUCACGCUUGAAUACAUUAGCAUGGAAUAACGAAAUAGGACGUUUGAUUUUAUUUUGUUGGUUUCUAGGAUCGACGUAAUGAUUAAUAGGGAUAGUUGGGGGCAUUAGUAUUCAAUUGUCAGAGGUGAAAUUCUUGGAUUUAUUGAAGACUAACUACUGCGAAAGCAUUUGCCAAGGAUGUUUUCAUUAAUCAAGAACGAAAGUUAGGGGAUCGAAGACGAUCAGAUACCGUCGUAGUCUUAACCAUAAACUAUGCCGACUAGGGAUCGGAUGAUGUUAAUUUUUUAAUGACUCAUUCGGCGCCUUA